GACGAACGCUGGCGGCGUGCUUAACACAUGCAAGUCGAACGGAAAGGCCCGGCUUUUGUGGGGUGCUCGAGUUGCGAACGGGUGAGUAACACUUGAGUAACCUGCCCUUGACUUUGGGAUAACUUCAUGAAACUUGGGCUAAUACCGGCUAGGAGCUCCUGCUUCAUGGUGGGGGUUGGAAAGUUUCGGCGGUUGGGGAUGGAUUCGCGUCUCAUCAGCUUGUUGGUGGGGUAGUGUCUUACCAAGGAUUUGACGGGUAGAUGGCCUGAGAGGGUGACAGGCCACCCUGGGAGUGAGUUACGGACGACCCAGAUACGGACGGGAGGAGGCAGGAAGAAUGAAUAAAGGGCGGACGAAUGCCUCAGCCAGCACGCGUGCGGGAUGAAGGAAUUCCGGAUGUUAAUAGAUUUCGUCUGUCACGAAGCGUAAGUGAAGGUAAUGGGUAAAGAAGCACCGGCUAACUACGU
RNAcentral lists this ribosomal RNA (467 nucleotides) under uncultured bacterium. RNAcentral's name for it is "partial 16S ribosomal RNA". It matches the Rfam family "Bacterial small subunit ribosomal RNA", at positions 28 to 506 of the family's 1533-position model. The record is from RNAcentral.